This 327-nucleotide long non-coding RNA is filed under the name Gossypium barbadense (sea-island cotton). RNAcentral describes it as "long non-coding RNA (GBAR_LNC015595)". Lineage: Eukaryota; Viridiplantae; Streptophyta; Magnoliopsida; Malvales; Malvaceae. The record is from RNAcentral.
CUUCACGGAUUACGCUACGAUGCUGGACUGCCUGGUGAAUACCUACAAGGAUGUCGAAUACCUAUGCGAGUGCAACAUCGUGGAAAACUAUUUCGGAACUGAAGGCGAAAUCGCACGGUUCAUCAACAAUAUAGGUAAAGAUACUGCAUUUGAUAUUAACAACUGUUACUUAUCUGAGCUCUUUAGAGAUGUUCAUCAGCAUUACAGGAAUAGUUGGCAUGUUCAGUGGGCGAGCUUCAAACAUACUUACUUUGAAACACCAUGGUCGUUUAUAUCGGCAUUAGCUGCCUUGAUCCUCCUUUUACUUACCAUCGCACAGACCUUCUU